AGACUACAGCUAACGGAGUCCUGACUGGAAAACGACGCAGGAGACUCACAGCACUCGACCUCCAUCUCAAGCUGCUGCCGGGCUUUUAAACACAACAAGCCCCUAAAAAACACAGAGACUUACGAAGAGUUUCUCCGGAGAAAACAAACCGACUCUGCUUUGAGGGCUUUUCAGCGGAGCGAGACAAACCUCAUGAUGAGUGUCCGCUGAGCAGCCAUCACCACGGUGGGACACAUCCCAGUUGGGGGGUUGCGUCAUCACCGUCAACUUCAACAAAAAAGAUCGGAUAUUUCCCUCGCAGCGCAGUCACGGACUCUUCACAGAUUAUAGAAGCGAACACGUUGCAAAGCUUCAGUCAGUCGCAGAGUUUGAUGAAGGACCAAAACACUGGAACCUGCUGCAGCACUCCACACAGCAUGUUUCAGCAGGAGAACAUGGAUUCACCUGCAGAGGAGGAUCUCACCUGUCCUGUCUGCAGGGACGUCUUCAAAGAGCCUGUCGUCCUGUCAUGCAGCCACAGCUUCUGUAGAGACUGUCUGCAGAAGCGCUGGACAGACAGACAGACACAGGAGUGUCCACUUUGUAAGAGACGGUCAUCAAUGACCAUUAUUCCACCUGAUCUUACAGACCUGCUGCUGAAGGAGCUGACAGAGGAGAACUUCAGCAGCUCCUCUGAGUCUCUGCAGUCUGCACAGUGAGCAGCUCUUCAGUCUGGACCAUCAGCAGCCGGUGUGUCUCGUCUGUCUGCACUCAGCGACACACACGGUGCACAUAUGUCAUCCGUCAAUGAAUUUGCACAUGAUGACUGGACUUGGACUUCUGCAGCACUUUCCCGUCUACUGACCGCUCAAAGCUGCUUUACAACACUUGUCAGUUUCACACAUUCACACACUGAUGGCGGAGGCCGCCAUGCAAGAUGCAAACUGCUCAUCAGGGAGGAGAGGGAGGGAGGGAGGGGAGGUGGGGAUAGGAGAGAGGGAGGAGAGAAAGGAGGAGAGGAGGGGAGGAGGGAAAACUCUUUCUCACUGGCUUUCCUUUCCUCUCAAUUUACUUCUUCUUGUCAUUGAAAUCACCAUCUUUGCUCACAGGAGAACUUGGAUUCACAUCCUGAUGUGACAACCUCCACCUGAACACACAGGACGACUUUAAAGUCAGAACUGAAAGCUGUAAUACAGCAGAUCUCUGCACCUGCUGGCAGGAACUUCUUUGCAUCUUUCUGUGUUUAAAAGUAAAACGACACACUCAUAUCAAAAAGUUUCAAGCAGAAGCUUGAAAAAACCAACCAAACAAACCUUACUGACAGUUUGUCCUUAUUAGGAGAGCACAAUAAUACAUUAGUUUAUAUUAAAUCUACGUCACAGAACAUUAGCUUAGUCCUGUGAACUGAUACAAGUCAAUGAGGUGAACUUUAUAAAGCUCCUUCUACAAAGUGCUAUAAGUUAAUUUACACAUUCACACACAUAUAUUCAGGAAACAGAUAUGAACCAAAAACAGCGUCUGUCACACAAAUUCAGUCAGUCAGUCUGUUAACUGAUGGAUGAAUGAAUGAAACCAUCUCUGACCACAGUGAGUGUGAACGAGCUCCUGGAGGAGGAGAGGGGAUUUUCUUACUCCCCAAUAACACAAGAAAAUCAUCUUUAUUUUCGUAGGAAGAUAAUUUAUUUAUAGUUUAUGAUCAUCUUAAAUAUCAUAUAAAUAUAUAUAUUUACUGAUGACAGUGCAAACAAGUUUCAAACAUUGUUCAUCUCUCAGUGCGUUUACAUGACAAACAAGAAAACCUAAUUACUGGGUUAGUCCGACUAUGACCGUAUUUUUAAGGUGUAUGUAUACACCUUAGUCUGACUAAAAUGGGACCAAAUCGGAUUUCUCAUAAUCGGAUUAAUACACACAGAUUAUUCGAUUGAUAGUUGCAUUACUCCUGCAUGUAUACUCUCCAUCAGAUCGGAUUGAAUUUUUGUGCUCUGCGCAGGCUCAAGUUGUUUUUUUUUUCUUUACUGGGGCGUGAAGCGGAAGAAGAAGGACGGCGGCGGCGGCGUCUUUCCUCUGAAAUCACUGCAAGCAUGAGCGCCAUUGUGCAUUUAUUUAAAGUAAUUAUCAUGUACACCAUAUACGAAGUGCUAAAGUUUCUUGAAUGCCGAGGCAGCUGGUGAUGUAAAGAGGUCAACCAGAGGUGUUUCUGUUACCACCAGAUGAAAUGGGUACAGCACCACCUAUAUCGUACCGGUAGCGUACAUGCUUCAGCCAGUAAUUUGAUUUUCUCACCUGCACGUAUACUCAACAAUUGCAGCUGUCUGAUUGAGCAGCAGAGUCGAACUAUAGCUGUAAUCUGACUAAGCUGUGCAUGUAAACACACUGACUGAAGUCACAGUGAGGAUUUAACAGUCAGCAUCAAUGACAGAUUUACAGUCAGGAGACAGCGGAGUGAUCGAAGGCACCACAGAAGAGUUCUGUUCACUCUGACUUGGCUGAGAAACAGAUCUGUGCUGCUGCUUUACAGUAACAUCAAUAAUAUCCAGUAGACUUCAUCAUGAAUUAAAGGCAGUGAAACAUGUUAACAAACAAAACAUACAACAGGUUCUGUGCAAUUUCAUUGGAAUGCAAAUGAUGGAAGAGAAGGAAUUUUUCUAUAAAAAGUCUUAGAAGUCUCAUUCAUGUUUGUAACAUUCUCAGAUAUUAAAAUAAUUUUUUGUUUUGUU
Long non-coding RNA from Acanthopagrus latus (yellowfin seabream), 2696 nucleotides. RefSeq lists it as uncharacterized. The record is from RefSeq and is a predicted model, not a curated record. The transcript has 2 exons. NCBI's taxonomy places the organism in Eukaryota, Metazoa, Chordata, Actinopteri, Spariformes, Sparidae.